AAAUCCUUGAAUCAAGAGCCGGAAAAUUCACCAAACCAAACUGAAUUCAGCCUUCGCAACAAAUAAUAAGGAUAAGCACAACCUACAGAAAACGAAAAAUCCACCGCAAGAGGCAAACAACCACACAAGCAGACGCUAAGACCGUAAGAGAAGAAGACAGAGCUUGAAAAGGAAAUUAAAAAUAGUUACAGGAGAGACUCUGAACUAGUUGACACCGACAACCACCACCACACCGAGCUCAAAUAUAGAGAUCUAGAAAUAGACUUCCACCGGAGCAACUUUAAUUAAUCCACUCGGAAAAGGUCGCAAACAUGAUCGCUCGAGGAGAUCAUGAACCACGUUCAUCACUGGUAACUGACCUCGACCAAAUAGUUCUAGACCAUCAAAAAUCCCACACCUGAACCUGGCCCUAAAUUUUCCAAACCAUCCCAAACUAGAAUGUACCGAAAUCUCGGGUCCAGUAGUAUCCACCACGUUGUGAUGGAGACCGACCCCACUAAAACCUUCAGGACCAUCGCUAUGAGAACGACGUCAAGUGAGCUCUCACACUUUUUGUUUGUUCAGAUCUGCGACCUCCGAGACUAACUACACAAAGUACAAUAGAAAAAGAUAUAAGGAGAUCUGAACCGGCGAUGGCACUAAAAGAGCCGAGCGCUGCUCGUAGGAGAUCACAGAAGCCACACCUAAUUGAAAAAAAAAAUUGAAAUGAGAGAGAAAUGGUUUUUGAUCAAUUCACAUUGAUCUAAAUGCUUGCUUUUAGCCAAUAUGAAUUUUUUUUUGUUAUGGUUUUAGAGGCUUUUUCAUUGCACCAGUGUUAGAGAACUAAUGAAUUAAACAAAACACAAUUUCAAAGUUAACACACUGGUUCUCAAACAUCAUUUCCUCUCGUUCCAACAUCAAUCCUACGUGUUAAUUUUAGUUUCAAAACUUUUACAGGUUGGCUGAUGUUGGGACGAGAAUCAAUGAUGUUUGAAAACUAAGAGCAUGAUUAUCCAUGUCCCUAUUUUUUUGGUCCUUAGUGUUUUUUAUUAUUAUUUCUAGCUUAGGACAAUGUUAAGGACUUUUAAUGAAAAUUAGGAUUAUUGGUGGGACUUAAUGUUGGUCUUUAGGGUAAAUUUAUUUGUUGAAGAAGGUGAAAUUCAUUUGUUGAAGAAGGUGGAAUUUGUGAAGAAGCAGAACUUGUAUUACGUUUGAUUCUGAAAAUAAAACGAACCAACUCUUGGAACAUUCCUUGUGCUCUAUCUUCUUGUACUUAUCUUUCCAUGUUUUAGAAAAACAUUCCUGCAUUUCUAGCACUUCGUGGCCAGCAAGGUUCAUCACACCCACAACAGAUAGCAAACUUGCAUUCUGGUUCUUGACAAACUUGACAUCACCAACACCUAUCACUCUCAUCAGCCAACCAUAUACAUGACAAGUCUCCAAUCUAUUGCACUUAGCUAGCUUAACGAAGACACCACCCGGUUCCCACACUCUAACACAAAGAGAUAAACCCGAGAGUCCCUUUCCCAUCAACACCUUUUGCAUUCUCCAAUGUUCGCAUGUGACCCUUGAUUAUUAUGGUCAAGUUGUGGCCUGGUUGCAGUCAACUCCUUUCUUUUGAACUUAAUGUCUUUAGCAUUUUACUCACGAUCUUCUGCUGAUUCUAUCUUCUUCCUCUUAAACACAUUUGAUCAAACAGCUGGUGUGCAACUAAAUCAAUAGCCCCCACUGACUUUUGAGCCAACUUCUCCACCGAAUCCAUAUCUAAAAUGUAUGCUUGUUCAACCUUUGGAGCACUCCAAACACCAACAUCGUAUGAAUCAUUGACUAGAAGCUGUGAGCUACUGUUCUUAAGCAAAGCAGAAUGCAAUUCAUCAACCCUAUGGCUUGGUUCCGUAAGAGAGUUUAAUACCUGAAUCGAAUCUUUUCGUGGAAUGAGAUGAUUCUCUCUUACUUCUGUUUCACUAAAUGGUUUUAGAAGAGUUUAAGGGUUUCGAGAAAUGGGUAGAUAGAACGCCAUUGUUCAAUCAUCAGAGGAGGAGGAAGAAAAAAGCUCGCCAGCUGUCACUAAGGACCAUCUCAAAAAACUUCUUAAUUAAGGAUAAAUGACUUCCGUUUCUUUGUAAUUUCUGCAUUUUUCAUUUAUUUCUCAGUCCAAUAUAGCUUAGGACUCUGUCUAAGGACACCAAUAAAGAUGGCCUAAGGUUUUAAAUAAAGUAAUUAUGUCACCGUUUUGAACAGUAAAUAGGAGUAGUUUAAAGUAGUUAAACCUUGGAACAGUCAAUAGUUUGGCUGAAUACAUGCUUCUGAUUUCUGAAAUGAUGUUUAAUAAGCUCUUUGCUUCUAUCAG
Molecule: long non-coding RNA, 2329 nt
Filed under: Brassica rapa (field mustard)
Lineage: Eukaryota; Viridiplantae; Streptophyta; Magnoliopsida; Brassicales; Brassicaceae
Description: long non-coding RNA (BRAP_LNC004595)
Source: RNAcentral